This 253-nucleotide ribosomal RNA is filed under the name uncultured bacterium. RNAcentral's name for it is "partial 16S ribosomal RNA". It matches the Rfam family "Bacterial small subunit ribosomal RNA", at positions 524 to 776 of the family's 1533-position model. The record is from RNAcentral.
UACGUAGGGUGCGAGCGUUGUCCGGAAUUAUUGGGCGUAAAGAGCUUGUAGGCGGUUUGUCGCGUCUGCCGUGAAAAUCCGGGGCUCAACCCCGGACUUGCGGUGGGUACGGGCAGACUAGAGUGUGGUAGGGGAGACUGGAAUUCCUGGUGUAGCGGUGAGAUGCGCAGAUAUCAGGAGGAACACCGAUGGCGAAGGCAGGUCUCUGGGCCACUACUGACGCUGAGAAGCGAAAGCGUGGGGAGCGAACAGG